AGUGUGAGUCUUUUCAUGAUAGCGAAAG
Molecule: non-coding RNA, 28 nt
Filed under: Homo sapiens (human)
Lineage: Eukaryota; Metazoa; Chordata; Mammalia; Primates; Hominidae
Source: RNAcentral